This 381-nucleotide ribosomal RNA is filed under the name Triticum aestivum (bread wheat). Its description in RNAcentral is "partial small subunit ribosomal RNA". Lineage: Eukaryota; Viridiplantae; Streptophyta; Magnoliopsida; Poales; Poaceae. The record is from RNAcentral.
AUGAUUUAUUACUUCUCUGCUAAAUAUUUCUCUGCUCAUAAGAAACAAGCUGCCUUAAGGGAUAUAUAUAAUUUUGUGCAAAUUAAAGAAGAGUCUCCCACAAGCUUGGGGAGGCUUCUCCAAUUACUUAAUGCUCUGCCUGAUCAUCCUCUUAAGAAAAAUGAAAUACUUGAUAUCUUUUAUAAUGGACUAACCGAUGCUUCCAGAGAUUACCUGGAUAGUUGUGCUGGUUCUGUUUUCAGGGAAAGAACACCGGAUGAAGCUGAAAUUUUAUUGAAUAAUAUGUUGACAAAUGCAAAUAAUUGGACACUUCCUGAGCCAGCUCCUGAGCCUAUUCCUAAACCAACUCCGAAAAAGGGGUGUUCUAUUUCUCAGUCCUGA